UGGGGAAUAUUGCACAAUGGGCGCAAGCCUGAUGCAGCCAUGCCGCGUGUAUGAAGAAGGCCUUCGGGUUGUAAAGUACUUUCAGCGAGGAGGAAGGCGUUGUGGUUAAUAACCGCAACGAUUGACGUUACUCGCAGAAGAAGCACCGGCUAACUCCGUGCCAGCAGCCGCGGUAAUACGGAGGGUGCAAGCGUUAAUCGGAAUUACUGGGCGUAAAGCGCACGCAGGCGGUCUGUCAAGUCGGAUGUGAAAUCCCCGGGCUCAACCUGGGAACUGCAUCCGAAACUGGCAGGCUAGAGUCUUGUAGAGGGGGGUAGAAUUCCAGGUGUAGCGGUGAAAUACGUAGAGAUCUGGAGGAAUACCGGUGGCGAAGGCGGCCCCCUGGACAAAGACUGACGCUCAGGUGCGAAAGCGUGGGGAGCAAACA
Molecule: ribosomal RNA, 427 nt
Filed under: uncultured bacterium
Lineage: Bacteria
Description: partial 16S ribosomal RNA
Rfam family: Bacterial small subunit ribosomal RNA
Source: RNAcentral